CUGCCUUCCAGUGACCAGGAUGAAAGAUGCACCCAUGAAUUAUAUAUUUCAAGUCAUCUCUAAAUUGCCUGGCAAUUACAGAACAGCAAGGUCAGCUGCCGGGAGCAAGAAUCUCCCUUUUGGCAGAGAAAAACAGAUGGAUGGAAACACAACGAUAUACAGAAAGAUGUUACCUCUUGGAGGGGGGGUGUUUUUCAGAUGCUGGUCACCAUAGAUGCUGGUCACCACCAUGCCCUUUCAUAAGUGUCCUUACAAAAGGAGGAAAUCAGGACAGAUACAUCCAGAGGGAAGACGCUAUGAAGACACAGAGAAGAGGGCCAUCUAUGCCAAGGAGAGGGGUAGGAAGCAAAUUCUUCCCACACACACCUCGGAGGAACCAACCCUGCUGACACCUUAAUUUUGGACUUCCAGCUUCCAGAACUGUGAGAUAAUAAAUUUUAGUUGUUUAAGCUA
Molecule: long non-coding RNA, 453 nt
Organism: Homo sapiens (human)
Lineage: Eukaryota; Metazoa; Chordata; Mammalia; Primates; Hominidae
Exons: 2
Source: RefSeq, a predicted model, not a curated record